UUGAACGCUGGCGGCAUGCCUAACACAUGCAAGUCGAGCGGUAACGCAAGAAGCUUGCUUCUUGGCGACGAGUGGCGGACGGGUGAGUAACACUUGGGAAUCUGCCCAGUAGUGGGGGACAACAUUCGGAAACGGAUGCUAAUACCGCAUACGCCCUAAGGGGGAAAGUGGGGGAUCUUCGGACCUCACGCUAUUGGAUGAGCCCAAGUCGGAUUAGCUUGUUGGUGAGGUAAUGGCUCACCAAGGCGACGAUCCGUAGCUGGUCUGAGAGGACGAUCAGCCACACUGGGACUGAGACACGGCCCAGACUCCUACGGGAGGCAGCAGUGGGGAAUAUUGGACAAUGGGCGCAAGCCUGAUCCAGCAAUGCCGCGUGUGUGAAGAAGGCCUGCGGGUUGUAAAGCACUUUCAGUAGAGAAGAAAAGCCUAGGGCUAAUACCCCUGAGUCUUGACGUAACCUACAGAAGAAGCACCGGCUAACUCCGUG
RNAcentral lists this ribosomal RNA (487 nucleotides) under uncultured bacterium. RNAcentral's name for it is "bacterial SSU rRNA". It matches the Rfam family "Bacterial small subunit ribosomal RNA", at positions 30 to 507 of the family's 1533-position model. The record is from RNAcentral.